GGUACCUGUUUUCCUCCCCUCCAUGGAAUCAUGGGAAGGUUCCGGCGCCAAGUUCCAAGAUGGCGGAAAAACAUCAAACAACAAAACACAAAACGAUCUACAAAAGAAAUGCAUUGAGCAUAUUUUUGUAGUAUUUAAAUUAUAUCAGGUUAUAAAUCGCGAAAAUAUGGCUGGAGCGGGUCGAGAUCUCUUUAAAUGGAAUAGGCAAACUAAGCCUUCUCCGAACUACAACAAGAAUAGUAGUGUCCAGAGUUGGAUAAAGAAUGUAAAAAGAGCAUCUGAUAAUGCAGCACGAGAAAUGUUUGGAAAUGAUUUUCACAGAGUGCUUGAUCAAGUUCAUGUUGAUGAAGAUGCCUUGAUGGAAUGUGACCUCAAAUAACACAAGAUCUCCUUGAUAAAUGGACUCAUGAAAAGCAAGUCCAAAAUAUUGCACCAGAUCUAGAGUUCUAUGAUGAAGCGUGGAUAAAAACAACCCACACAGCUUGUUCCAACUCUUCUAGAAGUAGAGGAGAGGGGAGCUCUAUGUUUUUUCUGACAGAGGAUGGGAGAGUCGAGGUUGGAGGGCUUUAUGAUGACAGUUUUGAAGCAGUUGAAGAUGAAAAGCCUCCUAGACCUGGGCGCGGCGGAGGUCAGAGGCAAGCGCUCGCCUACUCUGAACUCCAAGCUACCAUGGGUCCAAGAGGACGAUUUUAUCUUCAAUGUUGGCAAAAUCCUACAAAAUCCUGCAAAAUCUUGUAGUCCUCCUUCAGAGCCUUAAGGGGGACAGCCUAAGUCAUGGUGGACCCAAGGGCCUGUAGACAGCCUUUUGUAAAACCACACAAACUAAUCAGUACCAUAGAAAUAUUAUGACAACAGGGACAUCCCAUUUGUUGGGAACAUAACGUGAAACAUAAAUGGUAAUGUAAGUGGCAACAUAAUACGCAAAAUUAAAAAUUGGGCCAACCUGCAACUUAAAAACAAAAUUGUGCCCUUCUCAUACCUUACCUGCCAUAUGACAGGAUGCUGUUCUGAUUGGGGUGAUGACUGAGAUACUACAUGUUGGUGAAGCUGUGGUGGUUGCAGAAACAUUUGUGGUGUUGGAAGAUGACACAGUUGAUGAUACUGUUGUGGUGCCAUCUAUACAGCGAAAUAUUAAAAACAGUUAUACAUCUGAAGCACUUUAUUUGACUUCAUAGGAUAUUAAUGAAAUAAAGCAAGUGUUACAAGGUU
This is an RNA transcript of Nematostella vectensis (starlet sea anemone), 1209 nucleotides long. RefSeq lists it as uncharacterized. NCBI's taxonomy places the organism in Eukaryota, Metazoa, Cnidaria, Anthozoa, Actiniaria, Edwardsiidae. The record is from RefSeq and is a predicted model, not a curated record. The transcript has 5 exons.